Molecule: ribosomal RNA, 523 nt
Filed under: uncultured Bacteroidota bacterium
Lineage: Bacteria; Pseudomonadati; Bacteroidota
Description: bacterial SSU rRNA
Rfam family: Bacterial small subunit ribosomal RNA
Source: RNAcentral
CACGCUACGCGGCUAUACAUGCAAGUCGAACGGUGUCUUCGGACAUAGUGGCGCACGGGUGCGUAACACGUAUGCAACCUACCUUACAUUGGGGGAUAGCCUUUCGAAAGGGAGAUUAAUACCGCAUAAGACAGUAGCUGGGCAUCCAGCAGCUGUUAAAGAUUUAUCGAUGUAAGCUGGGCAUGCGUCCAAUUAGCUAGUUGGUGAGGUAAUGGCUCACCAAGGCAAUGAUUGGUAGGGGAACUGAGAGGUCAAUCCCCCACACUGGCACUGAGAUACGGGCCAGACUCCUACGGGAGGCAGCAGUAGGGAAUAUUGGGCAAUGGACGCAAGUCUCGACCCAGCCAUGCCGCGUGCAGGAUGAAGGCGUUAUGCGUUGUAAACUGCUUUUAUACAGGAAGAAACGACUCUUGCGAGAGGCAUUGACGGUACUGUAUGAAUAAGCACCGGCUAACUCCGUGCCAGCAGCCGCGGUAAUACGGAGGGUGCAAGCGUUGUCCGGAUUUAUUGGGUUUAAAGGGUG